This 468-nucleotide ribosomal RNA is filed under the name uncultured bacterium. RNAcentral's name for it is "partial 16S ribosomal RNA". It matches the Rfam family "Bacterial small subunit ribosomal RNA", at positions 28 to 507 of the family's 1533-position model. The record is from RNAcentral.
GACGAACGCUGGCGGCGUGCUUAACACAUGCAAGUCGAACGGAAAGGCCCUGCUUUUGUGGGGUGCUCGAGUGGCGAACGGGUGAGUAACACGUGAGUAACCUGCCCUUGACUUUGGGAUAACUUCAGGAAACUGGGGCUAAUACAGGAUAGGAGCUCCUGCUGCAUGGUGGGGGUUGGAAAGUUUCGGCGGUUGGGGAUGGACUCGCGGCUUAUCAGCUUGUUGGUGGGGUAGUGGCUUACCAAGGCUUUGACGGGUAGCCGGCCUGAGAGGGUGACCGGCCACAUUGGGACUGAGGUACGGCCCAGACUCCUACGGGAGGCAGCAGUGGGGAAUAUUGCACAAUGGGCGGAAGCCUGAUGCAGCAACGCCGCGUGCGGGAUGACGGCCUUCGGGUUGUAAACCGCUUUCGCCUGUGACGAAGCGUGAGUGACGGUAAUGGGUAAAGAAGCACCGGCUAACUACGUG